CCUACGGGAGGCAGCAGUGAGGAAUAUUGGUCAAUGGGCGGAAGCCUGAACCAGCCAAGUCGCGUGAGGGAUUAAGGCCCUGCGGGUCGUAAACCUCUUUUGCCGGGGAGCAGAGGUCCGGACGUGUCCGGGCCGGGAGAGUACCCGGAGAAAAAGCAUCGGCUAACUCCGUGCCAGCAGCCGCGGUAAUACGGAGGAUGCGAGCGUUAUCCGGAUUUAUUGGGUUUAAGGGGUGCGUAGGCGGUCAUUUAAUCCGUCGGUCAAAUGUCGGGGCUCAAACCCGGCCUGCCGUCGAAACUGGGUGCCUUGAGUGGGCGAGAAGGAUGCGGAAUGCGUGGUAUAGCGGUGAAAUGCAUAGAUAUCACGCAGAACCCCGAUUGCGAAGGCAGCAUACCGGCGCCCUACUGACGCUGAGGCACGAAAGUGCGGGUAUCGAACAGGAUUAGAUACCCCAGUAGUC
RNAcentral lists this ribosomal RNA (460 nucleotides) under uncultured bacterium. RNAcentral's name for it is "partial 16S ribosomal RNA". It matches the Rfam family "Bacterial small subunit ribosomal RNA", at positions 338 to 795 of the family's 1533-position model. The record is from RNAcentral.